AAUGUGGUUAAUGAUGACUAAUUUUUUUCCCCAUCUUAUCGAAUCUGGUGAAAUCCAAGCUGAAAAUAAGCCAAUUUUGUCUGAAACCACAUC
Molecule: small nucleolar RNA, 93 nt
Organism: Gadus morhua (Atlantic cod)
Lineage: Eukaryota; Metazoa; Chordata; Actinopteri; Gadiformes; Gadidae
Product: small nucleolar SNORD12/SNORD106
Source: Ensembl